Molecule: ribosomal RNA, 486 nt
Filed under: uncultured bacterium
Lineage: Bacteria
Description: partial 16S ribosomal RNA
Rfam family: Bacterial small subunit ribosomal RNA
Source: RNAcentral
GACGAACGCUGGCGGCGUGCUUAACACAUGCAAGUCGAACGGGAUCCAAAGGCUUUUUGUUUUUGGUGAGAGUGGCGAACGGGUGAGUAACACGUGAGUAACCUGCCCCCUUCUUUUGGAUAACCGCAUGAAAGUGUGGCUAAUACAGGAUAUUCCAGGCUGGUCGCAUGAUUGGUUUGGGAAAUGGUUUGGUCUGGUGGGGGAUGGGCUCGCGGCCUAUCAGCUUGUUGGUGGGGUGAUGGCCUACCAAGGCGGUGACGGGUAGCCGGCCUGAGAGGGUGGGCGGUCACACUGGGACUGAGAUACGGCCCAGACUCCUACGGGAGGCAGCAGUGGGGGAUGUAGCACAAUGGGCGCAAGCCUGAUGCAGCGACGCCGCGUGAGGGAUGAAGGCCUUCGGGUUGUAAACCUCUUUCGCUGGGUUGAAAGGCCAUGCUUUGGGUGUGGUUGAUUUGAACUGGUAAAGAAGUACCGGCUAACUACGUG